UUCUAAAAGGUUUACAAUUAAACAACCAAAAAAAAAAACAUAAAUUAUAAAAAAAUAAAUUUCUAUAACUAUAGCUAAGUAAGUGAUUUAAAUAGAAAUCGCUAUAUAUUUUUAAUUAUAUAUAAAAAUUAUCUUUCAAUAUUAUACCAACGUAACUAACUUUAAUACCACACAAAUUACACCUUACAGCCCAAUGGUAACAAACAGACGGACAUGUAUGUGAAACCUUAACGCACUAAAGCCAUAGGAAGCGGAAAAAAAAAAAUAUUAUUACGUAAACGUAGCUGUGGACUCAUAAAGCAAUUGAACACCUGCCAAUACCGUGACUAUCACCUUAACGUGAAUGCAUUUCCUCAUUAUUAACAAGCAAUAUCCCAGGCUACAUGCAGAAGCCGCAAUGGAUUGCGACAUUUAUGUAUUACGGACAGAGGUGUUUUAUGUUGUGAAGGGUCUGUGAUUUAUUCGUUAUCUUGUGCAACCCUUCAGACCUCACUUUCCAGACUGCACACUCCAUCCAGCAUAAAUAUAAAUCACCAGCGAACUCCUCAAUAAAUAUAUAAUGGUAAGUAAUGAAGGCCUCCGAUUGCUUACUCCGCUUUGUGUUGAAAGUGUGCUGUGAACGAUUUUAUUAAAAUUACACCAAAUAAAUAUAAGUACGU
Long non-coding RNA from Danaus plexippus (monarch butterfly), 659 nucleotides. RefSeq lists it as uncharacterized. The transcript is spliced from 2 exons. Lineage: Eukaryota; Metazoa; Arthropoda; Insecta; Lepidoptera; Nymphalidae. The record is from RefSeq and is a predicted model, not a curated record.